This 236-nucleotide ribosomal RNA is filed under the name uncultured Syntrophaceae bacterium. RNAcentral's name for it is "partial 16S ribosomal RNA". It matches the Rfam family "Bacterial small subunit ribosomal RNA", at positions 1145 to 1382 of the family's 1533-position model. Lineage: Bacteria; Pseudomonadati; Thermodesulfobacteriota; Syntrophia; Syntrophales; Syntrophaceae. The record is from RNAcentral.
GAGACUGCCGGUGUUAAGCCGGAGGAAGUGGGAUGACGUCAAGUCCUCAUGGCCUUUAUGCCCAGGGCUACACACGUGCUACAAUGGGCGGUACAAAGAGAUGCAAUCUCGUGAGGGUAAGCAAAUCUCAAAAAGCCGUUCUCAGUUCGGAUUGAAGUCUGCAACUCGACUUCAUGAAGUCGGAAUCGCUAGUAAUCGCGGAUCAGCAUGCCGCGGUGAAUACGUUCCCGGGCCUU